AGCACGAAGCAUCUUGCCGACGUUGGCUAUUGGGCGGCGACAUCGGCAAAACGUCGAGGCCUUUUUUGCCUUAUAAUCGUCAUGCCAAUUAGGUUGGUUUUAGAUCGGCAAAAUAGCGGCAGAAAAGACGGUUUCCUGCCAUGGUUUGCCGAUGGUUUGCCAACUUAACCCCGACAUCGGCAGUACGACGCUUUGCCGAUCAAUUCCCUGCAGUUCCCUUCCGAUGGUUUGCCAAUGGUUUGCCAACAUAACCCCAACCAUCGGCAACGCGACGUUUUACCGAGCAAUUUCCUAAUGUUUCCUCCCGAUGCUUUGCCAACUUAACACCGACCAUCAUCUGACAAUGUCCCAAACACAGUUUGCCGAUGGUUUGCCAACCUAACCCCGACCAUCGGCAACGCGACGCUUUGCAGAUCAUUUGAAGACCCCAAAACCAAAAGCCAGCGCCUGCUUGCUUGCAACCUGAGCAGCGCGAGCUCUGUUUGAAAUUAUUUCAGUUGUCAAGGGAACAAACAUUUUCCGUUUACUUUACUGGACGUCGCAGCAGUAGUAUUAGCCACCACAAUCGUUUUUAGUUAGGCAUUACCAUUAUUUCUGUUGAAAUGUAGGUUUCAGCAUUACAAGUCAGGCUUGAUUAAACAUUAAAUUAGGUUGCUGAAAUAAAUCUCUUCACCUGUCAUGCUGUCUCGAAUGACCUCCUCAUCGAGUUUCUAAUCGAUAUCCGACCUCACUUUUUCUUACCGUUAGCAAGUUAGCUAACGUGUCAAACGUACCCAGCAACCAGGCAUACUGCUCCCGUAAUCAAGUUUCCUGCUGGAGUCGGGCUGUUGAUUCUUGUCUAGCCCAUGAUGACUGGUUGAAAGGACAUUACAAAAUAGGCUACGUCAAUUCACCACAAGUCAAAAUCAGAUCAACAGACAGGGACAUCAGCCUUCUCUUGGGAAUAUGCCAGAUAUGCCAUAACAAGAAA
Molecule: long non-coding RNA, 970 nt
Organism: Engraulis encrasicolus (European anchovy)
Lineage: Eukaryota; Metazoa; Chordata; Actinopteri; Clupeiformes; Engraulidae
Exons: 3
Source: RefSeq, a predicted model, not a curated record